UGGGGAAUAUUGGACAAUGGGCGCAAGCCUGAUCCAGCAACGCCGCGUGGAGGACGAAGGUCUUCGGAUCGUAAACUCCUGUCAGAUGGGACGAAGAGUCGGCGGGAAAUACUCGCCGGCUUUGACGGUACCGUCAGAGGAAGCCCCGGCUAACUCCGUGCCAGCAGCCGCGGUAAUACGGAGGGGGCGAGCGUUAUUCGGAAUUAUUGGGCGUAAAGGGCGCGUAGGCGGCUUGGUAAGUCAAAGGUGAAAUCCCUCGGCUCAACUGAGGAAUUGCCUUUGAAACUGCCUGGCUCGAGGCCGGGAGGGGGUAGCGGAAUUCCCAGUGUAGCGGUGAAAUGCGUAGAUAUUGGGAGGAACACCGGUGGCGAAGGCGGCUACCUGGACCGGUUCUGACGCUGAUGCGCGAAAGCGUGGGGAGCAAACAG
Molecule: ribosomal RNA, 428 nt
Filed under: uncultured bacterium
Lineage: Bacteria
Description: bacterial SSU rRNA
Rfam family: Bacterial small subunit ribosomal RNA
Source: RNAcentral